RNAcentral lists this ribosomal RNA (373 nucleotides) under uncultured organism. RNAcentral describes it as "partial 16S ribosomal RNA". It matches the Rfam family "Bacterial small subunit ribosomal RNA", at positions 527 to 896 of the family's 1533-position model. The record is from RNAcentral.
GUAGGUGGCAAGCGUUGUCCGGAAUUAUUGGGCGUAAAGCGCGCGCAGGCGGUCCUUUAAGUCUGAUGUGAAAGCCCACGGCUCAACCGUGGAGGGUCAUUGGAAACUGGGGGACUUGAGUGCAGAAGAGGAGAGUGGAAUUCCACGUGUAGCGGUGAAAUGCGUAGAGAUGUGGAGGAACACCAGUGGCGAAGGCGACUCUCUGGUCUGUAACUGACGCUGAGGCGCGAAAGCGUGGGGGGGAGCGAACAGGAUUAGAUACCCUGGUAGUCCACGCCGUAAACGAUGAGUGCUAAGUGUUAGAGGGUUUCCCGCCUUUAGUGCUGCAGCUAACGCAUUAAGCACUCCGCCUGGGAGUACGGUCGCAAGACUG